Molecule: long non-coding RNA, 838 nt
Filed under: Sparus aurata (gilthead seabream)
Lineage: Eukaryota; Metazoa; Chordata; Actinopteri; Spariformes; Sparidae
Description: lncRNA (ENSSAUG00010011183.1)
Source: RNAcentral
UCAGCAGAAAUGUUCUGGUAAGAAUGUUCUGUGCUCAGCUUGUAUUGGCACACUGUGGGGGGAACGACACGCUACAAAACUGCGCACCACACGUCCCAAUCAAUCACUGACCUCAAUGCCUUUUCACAGGUGCAGGUUGAAACAACAGGGCAGUGGCUUUCCCCACUUUUGUUUGUGAUUUGACUCCAUUUCUUCAUCUUCUGUCUUUGGCGCAGGGCAAGUGAGGACACAAGCUGACGCCGAACCACGAGGCCUAAGAUACUGCAAUGCAGAGAGGAUAUGUGGACAUGCUGCGUACAGCGACGGAGGGAAUCCAGCACAAUGAGCGGCGGAGAUCUCAGCGCUUUAUCCCGGAUAGCCGACUGACUGCGGUUUGCGUGCCAGUUGCCUCAAAGUCUCAGUGGUAAGUCAUGGAGUGUGUGUGGGUGUGGAGGUAAGUGUGUGUGUGUGUGUGUGCGUGUGUGUGUGUGUGUGUAUGUGUGUGUGUGUGUGUGUACAUGUAUGCCUGUGUAUGUGAAGCAUGCACACAUGCAGGGGUUUUCUUUUGACAAAACCGACGAAACACUAAGAUGAAAGCCGCGCUACAGCGUUGUCGUUUUCGACCCGAACUCCAUGUUGCUGUGUGGAAGUCUGGGUGUUGUUUCCUUCAGGGCGACAGGACUAUCCAGAGAGAGGAGGCUUAACUGAAUGUAGGUGAACCAAGGGGGGGAAACGUGGCACGGUCUUUGAAUUUCCGACGAAUCUGAGCUAAUCUCUCCUCUGGUGCGUUCCUACCUGCAGUUUCGCACUCCAGGUCGGCCUUUUGUGUGUGUGAAAGAGAGACGGUUUUGGAGGGAGC